CAGCAGCCGCGGGAAAACGGAGGGUGCAAGCGUUAAUCGGAAUUACUGGGCGUAAAGCGCACGCAGGCGGUUUGUUAAGUCAGAUGUGAAAUCCCCGAGCUUAACUUGGGAACUGCAUUUGAAACUGGCAAGCUAGAGUCUUGUAGAGGGGGGUAGAAUUCCAGGUGUAGCGGUGAAAUGCGUAGUGAUCUGGAGGAAUACCGGUGGCGAAGGCGGCCCCCUGGACAAAGACUGACGCUCAGGUGCGAAAGCGUGGGGAGCAAACAGGAUUAGAUACCCCUGUAGUCCCUGUCUCUUAUAC
Molecule: ribosomal RNA, 301 nt
Filed under: uncultured bacterium
Lineage: Bacteria
Description: partial 16S ribosomal RNA
Rfam family: Bacterial small subunit ribosomal RNA
Source: RNAcentral